Drosophila nasuta is the source of this 1529-nucleotide long non-coding RNA. RefSeq lists it as uncharacterized. The transcript is spliced from 5 exons. The record is from RefSeq and is a predicted model, not a curated record. Lineage: Eukaryota; Metazoa; Arthropoda; Insecta; Diptera; Drosophilidae.
AAAAAUCGAAGUGCUGUCGCAAAUAAAAUUGAAGUGUCAAACCAAUUCCGACGACACCAAAAAAUAUUUAAUGAUGUUCUCGCGAGAAAAACAAAUGGAGAAGAGGAAAUAGAAAUAAGUUAUGAUACGGUGAAACGCACUCUACAGCGAAAAAGACAACCCUUUCUUCCAAUUACUCCCGAGGACGUGCGCGAUGCUUUCAAUAAUGAAAAUAUCAUGAACCGUUUUGGCAUGACAAAAGGAAAUUUUCCGAAAGUUUUUUAAGAAAUUAUAUGCAUCAAGUUCAUUUGCCUAUUGUGUAUUUGCGUCUGACAAGGUCAUCACUUUGAUGCAAGCCAAUAUUGAGGAGCAGAAUAGGCAUUUUUAAUAGAUGCUACAUUUAAAGUUUGCCCUUUCGGGGACUUUAAGCAACUGCUUCUUAUUUAUGUUAAACACAUGCAAAAGAUAACACCGUUCCUAUUUGUUUUGAUGACUCGUAAAACAGAGCUCUGUUACCAACACCUAUUUACAUAUGUUGACUCAAACAUUUGCUGUCUUAAUGGUGCAUCAUUUAUAUCGGAUUAUGAGAAGGCGAUGCGCAACGCUUUGAAAAAUUUGCAUCCAAAUAUGAAUUUCUUUGCUUGCUGGUUCCAUUUUACCCAAGCAUGUAAAAGAAAUGCAAUCAAAACUAUUGGUUUGGAGAAAAUGCUUUCGUGCAAUAAACAUGCGUAUAUGCUGUUUAUGAAAUUUCUAUAUUUACCUCUUUUACCGGAAUGCAAGAUUGUUGAAGCAUUUAGUCUUCUUGAAGCUCAAGCCACAGCCUUAGAUAAGAAGAUGUUUUCGCCCUUUUUAAAAUAUUUUAGAAGCAGUGGCUUCAGAAAGAAGGACCUAAAAAUAUAUCGGUAUACAAACGAUCCACAAGAACCACGGGCUCAGUUGAUGCAUACAAUUUAAAUCUGGGCAAUAAAAUUCGAGCAAAGGGACACUUUUUCAAAUUCGUGGAAUGUAUAAUUGAUGCGGAGUAUGAAAAAGUCGAGAAUUCGCUCUUCUCUUUCAAAAUGGUGGGAUAGGUAAUUCAACACAACCAAAACCUAUACGUGAUCGCGCUCAAAAAUUAUGGAUGCAAUGGAUUUGUUUGACAAGGGAGAAAUUGACAUACAGGGUUUUUGACACGAACUGUUUCGCUAAAUGACCGUUUUAAAAACAGGACCUGUUCGACAGUGUGCAUAUGGACUCUAAUUUGUCGGGAAUGUCAUCUGAAAUGAAGGCAUCAACAUCAUCGCUUUCGUCGACUGACUCAAAAUCUAGUCAAAUAUCCGAUUCAUCUAUAUUUAAAAUGAAUCCCUGCAAUGUAUGUCUCAUCGAACCAAAAUCGGUUUUAUUACGCCCAUGUAAUCAUUUGAAUAUUUGCGCAGUAUGUUGGGAUCAAAUUCUGGCUCAUAAUCAAGAACAGAACGAUGAUCCUAACGAUCUUGACAGUGGUGAACCAAAAUGUCCAACGUGUCAACAAGUUGUCAAAGAAGCUAUCCGUAAUGUUUAUAUAUAUAAUU